UACGUAGGGUGCGAGCGUUAAUCGGAUUUACUGGGCGUAAAGCGUGCGCAGGCGGCCCGUUAAGACAGGUGUGAAAUCCCUGGGCUCAACCUAGGAAUUGCGCUUGUGACUGGCGGGCUCGAGUACGGUAGAGGGGGGUGGAAUUCCUGGUGUAGCAGUGAAAUGCGUAGAGAUCAGGAGGAACACCGAUGGCGAAGGCAGCCCCCUGGGCCUGUACGGACGCUCAGGCACGAAAGCGUGGGGAGCAAACAGG
This 253-nucleotide ribosomal RNA is filed under the name uncultured microorganism. RNAcentral's name for it is "partial 16S ribosomal RNA". It matches the Rfam family "Bacterial small subunit ribosomal RNA", at positions 524 to 776 of the family's 1533-position model. The record is from RNAcentral.